CAGUAGCCACGGUAAUACGGAGGGUGCAAGCGUUAAUCGGAAUUACUGGGCGUAAAGCGUGCGUAGGCGGUUCGUUAAGUCUGUUGUGAAAGCCCCGGGCUCAACCUGGGAAUGGCAAUGGAUACUGGCGAGCUAGAGUGUGUCAGAGGAUGGUGGAAUUCCCGGUGUAGCGGUGAAAUGCGUAGAGAUCGGGAGGAACAUCAGUGGCGAAGGCGGCCAUCUGGGACAACACUGACGCUGAGGCACGAAAGCGUGGGGAGCAAACAGGAUUAGAUACCCCAGUAGUCCCUGUCUCUUAUAC
RNAcentral lists this ribosomal RNA (301 nucleotides) under uncultured bacterium. Its description in RNAcentral is "partial 16S ribosomal RNA". It matches the Rfam family "Bacterial small subunit ribosomal RNA", at positions 509 to 807 of the family's 1533-position model. The record is from RNAcentral.